CCUACCUCACAGGCUGGUUGUGAGGUUCGGACAAGUGACUACCAAGAAAUCCUUAAGAUGGUUCUUGGUGUACAGACUAGCUCUUACUUUUCUUUGUUGAGCAAGACUUUGUAUCAUGAGCUCUUCGAAUCCUCAGAUACUGUCAUCACUCUCAUUUUACAGAGGAGGAAACUGAGGCUCGGAGAAGCCAGGUAUCUUGCCCUGGGUCACACAGGGCUAGUUAGUGGCAGAGCCAAGCUCCCAUGUCUGUUCAGAGCCGGAGGUCUAACAGCAUCCUCUUAAGGAGCCAGCCAGGUACACCUGCUAGCAUUUCUGUGUUAGCAACAGCACAAAAUGCUGCUGUUGUCAAGGUUAGGGUGGAGAAAAUGGGGAGGGUGCUGCUUCCUGGCUGGGGUGCACGUGUGGUUUUCCUCUACAUAAAUAUGUGCAUAUAUAAUGCAUGCAGGCAUAAUAAAUAGGGAAGGCUGCAGGCUUAUGCACAUACAGGCUUUCUGGUGUGCCUGUGUGUGAGUGCAUGAACAUACGAGCAGCUGACUGAAUGAUGCAGCUGCCGCCCAAGCUGCUCGUGUGUGUGUGUCGGGGUGUAGUUCGGGAGCCUCUUCCAAAACAAAGCAGCCUGCCUCCUGCUCCACUGUCCCAACCAAGGGAUUCCUUUCUGCUCACUCCACCCUAUCUGUGACUCUUUUCCCCCACUCCCUUUAGGCAUAUACAGAAAAGCCCACACAUGAUGCCUGGAAAAUUGUAUGUGGUUAACACUAGUUGCAGAAUGAAAGGGAAAAAAUGGGUGUGCAGACCACCAAGAAAAAUGGUAAUGACCAUUUCUCGAGGGCCUGCUAUAUGCUAAGCACUUAAUCCUUCUUCCAACCCUGAGAGCACCAGGCACAGAACUUGGUAUGUGGUAGACAUUUAAUACCUAUGAAUGAGGCACAUACUAUUAUGAUGUCUAUUUUAGAGAUGGGGAAACCGAGGCUCAGAGGGGGUGCAUUGACUUGCCCAAGACUCCACAACUGAGCUGGGAUUUGAACCCAGGUCUCCUCUGAUUUCAAAGCCCUUGCAGUUUCUGCUGCACCACACUGUGGAGUGCUGGGUGGAGAAAGGAAGUGUUCGCUUCCUCUGCUGCAGUGUGGACUAGCUGUUUUUGAUGAUCAAAGGAGACUCACAAUGGGGCUAGGUAGGAACGUGGCUGGGCUGAUAAAUGGCCAGUCUAUCUGCAAACCUGCCUAACUGAGAGGUGGGCCCAUCUGAGCACUUUCCUGCCUCCUUCUCAAGCCUUCUAAGGCUUCCCACUGCCUAGAGGAUAAAGUCCCACUUCUUCAUGUGGCAUUCAAUGUCCUUCGCAGCCUGUCUCCAAGUGCUCCCUUGUCCCUUGUCGUGAGCUUGUCCAGCUGGUCUCGCUGCUCCUGAACUUAACCUCCUGGCUCCAUGAUUCUGUCCCUGCCAUCUCUCCUCCCCAUCACUCCAACCUGGGGCACACUCUCCCCAUUCCAAGCCUUGUCCUCUUCGUCCCCUUGCAGGGGCCUUUUGGGGCAAACCUCUGUCACUCCCCUUCCUGGUGCAUAAACUACUCACCCCUCCCUGGAGCUCCUCAAGCCCCUGCCUCAGCCCAAGCCCACUUGGACCUGGACCUGUCACUGGAUUCGUUCACACGGGCCAAGCUUUCCCACUGGCCCAUGUCUGAGGCCAUCAUCUCUGUGGCCAGUGCACAGGGGAGGACGCUGCACCAGUUUAGGAACUGCACUAACCACAAGGAGAGUAAGAAGCAGGAGUGAAAUGGCCAAAGGCUGGAUUCAGGAAGUGGAGAAGGCAAACUCCACGUGGGCAGGGAUCCUGUUUUAUCAUCUCUGCUUCCUCACUGCACAGAACAGUGCCGGGCACAACUCAAUGCGGAGUUGCUGCCUAAGCCUGUGACCCUGAGAACGCAGGUGCUGCCAGAAUGGAACCCUUAGAGCGAGCUGGACUCUGGCAGCACACAUGGCCUGUGAGGACCCCUUCUCUGUCUCCCACAGACCCUCAAUGGCCUCCCAUUUCCAUUUUUGUACCCCACAGUCUGGGAGCUCCACCCCAGUUCUGUCCUUGGCUGAGUCAUCUUGGUGUCCCCAGGCCUGGCUCAGGGCCUGGCAUGGAGGAGGAGCUGGGUAAAUGUUUGUGGUGUUAAAUUGGACCAGUCUCCAGCUCCUCACUGCCUCCACAUCUGAGGAGCCCCAGGGAAGGGGCCGGCAAAGAGAGAUGAAAGAAGGGAUCGCUGAGUUUGCAGUUUGAGUUUCUGGUUCCUGGGCCAGCCAGUGGGCAAGGAAGGCUGUUAGACUCAGGAAGGAAAGAGCUUUGGAGUCACUAGACCUGGGUUCAAAUCUCUACCAUGUGCCUUACAGGUGUGACCUUGGGUAAGCCCCUUUACCUCUCUCAGCAUCUAUUUUCUCAGUUAUAAAAAUGAGGAUAGUAACCUCAGCUUCAGAGGGAAAUAUGAGGAUUAAAGGCAAUGAGGAGUGUGAAGAGGCUGGCAAGGAUGUGAAGCACACGUCAGAGUGUUUGAGGGUGUGGAUUCCCAUCUGGAUUGAACCCUGGCUCUGAGAACCAGCUGUGCAACCUCAGACAGGUCACUUCACCUCUCUAUGCCUGGUUUGCAAAAGGGGAAUGAUACCAUCAGUGUUUUUCCAGGUUGGUCCUGGACCUCUAGAGAGAACUAAUCCAUUGAGUGGAGUGAGGUGGGGGUAUUCGGCUGCCCAGAGGCCUCCCUGAUCCUCCCACCCCUGAGGCCUGCCUCCCCCAUUCCUCCUGAGGCA
This 2780-nucleotide long non-coding RNA is filed under the name Homo sapiens (human). RNAcentral describes it as "HSALNT0401296". Lineage: Eukaryota; Metazoa; Chordata; Mammalia; Primates; Hominidae. The record is from RNAcentral.